ACGAACGCUGGCGGCGUGCUUAACACAUGCAAGUCGAACGGAAAGGCCCUGCUUUUGUGGGGUGCUCGAGUGGCGAACGGGUGAGUAACACGUGAGUAACCUGCCCUUGACUUUGGGAUAACUUCAGGAAACUGGGGCUAAUACCGGAUAGGAGCUCCUUCUGCAUGGUGGGGGUUGGAAAGUUUCGGCGGUUGGGGAUGGACUCGCGGCUUAUCAGCUUGUUGGUGGGGUAGUGGCUUACCAAGGCUUUGACGGGUAGCCGGCCUGAGAGGGUGACCGGCCACAUUGGGACUGAGAUACGGCCCAGACUCCUACGGGAGGCAGCAGUGGGGAAUAUUGCACAAUGGGCGGAAGCCUGAUGCAGCAACGCCGCGUGCGGGAUGACGGCCUUCGGGUUGUAAACCGCUUUCGCCUGUGACGAAGCGUGAGUAACGGUAAUGGGUAAAGAAGCACCGGCUAACUACGUG
RNAcentral lists this ribosomal RNA (467 nucleotides) under uncultured bacterium. RNAcentral's name for it is "partial 16S ribosomal RNA". It matches the Rfam family "Bacterial small subunit ribosomal RNA", at positions 29 to 507 of the family's 1533-position model. The record is from RNAcentral.